This 464-nucleotide ribosomal RNA is filed under the name uncultured bacterium. RNAcentral's name for it is "SSU rRNA". It matches the Rfam family "Bacterial small subunit ribosomal RNA", at positions 26 to 518 of the family's 1533-position model. The record is from RNAcentral.
AGGAUUAACGCUGGCGGCGUGCCUAACACAUGCAAGUCGAACGAGGUAGCAAUACCGAGUGGCAGACGGGUGAGUAACACGUGGGCAACCUACCGUCGAGUGGGGGAUAACUAGCCGAAAGGUUAGCUAAUACCGCAUGAAACGUGCUGUGGCAUCACAGAACGUUAAAAGGAGCAAUCCGCUUGAUGACGGGCCCGCGUCCGAUUAGCUUGUUGGUGGGGUAAUGGCCUACCAAGGCUCCGAUCGGUAGCUGGUUUGAGAGAGCGACCAGCCACACUGGGACUGAGAAACGGCCCAGACUCCUACGGGAGGCAGCAGUGAGGAAUUUUCCGCAAUGGGCGAAAGCCUGACGGAGCGACGCCGCGUGUGGGAAGAAGGCCUUCGGGUCGUAAACCACUGUCGAAGGGGACUAUACUGAAGGUACCCUUGGAGGAAGCCCCGGCUAACUACGCGCCAGCAGCCGC